Molecule: ribosomal RNA, 296 nt
Filed under: uncultured bacterium
Lineage: Bacteria
Description: partial 16S ribosomal RNA
Rfam family: Bacterial small subunit ribosomal RNA
Source: RNAcentral
GGUAGUCCACGCUGUAAACGUUGGGCGCUAGGUGUGGGGGGCCUCUCCGGUUCUCUGUGCCGCAGCUAACGCAUUAAGCGCCCCGCCUGGGGAGUACGGCCGCAAGGCUAAAACUCAAAGGAAUUGACGGGGCCCGCACAAGCGGCGGAGCAUGCGGAUUAAUUCGAUGCAACGCGAAGAACCUUACCUGGGUUUGACAUCGCCGGAAAUCUCCCAGAGAUGGGGAGGUCCUUUUAGGGCCGGUGACAGGUGGUGCAUGGCUGUCGUCAGCUCGUGUCGUGAGAUGUUGGGUUAAG